RNAcentral lists this ribosomal RNA (253 nucleotides) under uncultured bacterium. Its description in RNAcentral is "partial 16S ribosomal RNA". It matches the Rfam family "Bacterial small subunit ribosomal RNA", at positions 524 to 776 of the family's 1533-position model. The record is from RNAcentral.
UACAGAGGUCCCAAGCGUUGUUCGGAUUCACUGGGCGUAAAGGGUGCGCAGGUGGUCGGGUAAGUCUGACGUGAAAUCCCGCAGCUUAACUGCGGAAUGGCAUUGGAUACUAUUCGGCUAGAGGGUUGGAGGGGGGACUGGAAUUCUCGGUGUAGCAGUGAAAUGCGCAGAUAUCAGGAGGAACACCGGUGGCGAAGGCGGGUCUCUGGGCCGAUACUGACGCUGAGGAGCGAAAGCGUGGGGAGCGAACAGG